Molecule: ribosomal RNA, 467 nt
Filed under: uncultured bacterium
Lineage: Bacteria
Description: partial 16S ribosomal RNA
Rfam family: Bacterial small subunit ribosomal RNA
Source: RNAcentral
GACGAACGCUGGCGGCGUGCUUAACACAUGCAAGUCGAACGGAAAGGCCCUGCUUUUGUGGGGUGCUCGAGUGGCGAACGGGUGAGUAACACGUGAGUAACCUGCCCUUGACUUUGGGAUAACUUCAGGAAACUGGGGCUAAUACCGGAUAGGAGCUCCUGCUGCAUGGUGGGGGUUGGAAAGUUUCGGCGGUUGGGGAUGGACUCGCGGCUUAUCAGCUUGUUGGUGGGGUAGUGGCUUACCAAGGCUUUGACGGGUAGCCGGCCUGAGAGGGUGACCGGCCACAUUGGGACUGAGAUACGGCCCAGACUCCUACGGGAGGCAGCAGUGGGGAAGAUUGCACAAUGGGCGGAAGCCUGAUGCAGCAACGCCGCGUGCGGGAUGACGGCCUUCGGGUGGUAAACCGCUUUCGCCUGUGACGAAGCGUGAGUGACGGUAAUGGGUAAAGAAGCACCGGCUAACUACGU